Molecule: ribosomal RNA, 497 nt
Filed under: uncultured bacterium
Lineage: Bacteria
Description: partial 16S ribosomal RNA
Rfam family: Bacterial small subunit ribosomal RNA
Source: RNAcentral
GAUGAACGCUGGCGGCGUGCCUAAUACAUGCAAGUCGAACGCUGAAGCUUGGUGCUUGCACCGAGCGGAUGAGUUGCGAACGGGUGAGUAACGCGUAGGUAACCUGCCUCUUAGCGGGGGAUAACUAUUGGAAACGAUAGCUAAUACCGCAUAAAAGACGAUAUCGCAUGAUAUUGAAUUGAAAGGUGCAAUUGCUUCACUAAGAGAUGGACCUGCGUCGUAUUAGCUAGGUGGUGAGGUAAAGGCCCAACAAGGCGAAGAAACAUAGCCGGCCCGGGAGGGGUGACGGCCACACUGGGACUGAGACAACGCCCAGGCCUCCACGGGGAGGCGCCGUAGGGGAACUUCGGCAAGGGGGGCAACCCUGACCGGGGAACGCCGGGGGGGGGAAGGAAGGUCUCGGGUCGGAAAGCUCCGUUGUAAGGGAAGAACGAGUGUGGGAGUUAAAAGUUCACACUGUGACGGUAACUGAUCAGAAAGCGACGGCUAACUACGUG